CCCGGCUUGGCCCUCCUCCCUUCUCAGGCAUGCAUACAGAUUGGUGGCUAGUCCCUGUUCCAACCUCUGCAGGAGCUACGUGGCAAGUUACAGUCAGCAUCCCGUGCCUGGUGUCACAGCCACCACCCCAGUUUAUGGUUUAUCUGCCCUUGUCUCCCUGCCCAUCUGAUAAGCACUGAAAAUAUGGCACCUCCAGGUGGCUUGAAUUUGUUUUCCUUGAGGUACAGGAAGGCAGGGCACGUUUAAAAACACAAGAGGCCUUUUUCUCAGACCUGCCCUCCCCCCGCCCCAGACAGGUUCUUAUCUCACAAGGGAAGCUGGCGAGGCUGGAGGAAGAAGAGGGCGGGAAGCAGGCCGGAAGGGAAGGAGGAGAGAAGCCAAGAGCCAGGGUGGGGCGUCAUCUAGGUGAAAAUCGUUCAGCUGUCUGGAGUUGGCUUCUACUGUGCCAUUGGGGAGACCAAGGACAGUCUGGCUCAGUGUGAGUGCCCCAGGACAGACGGAGGUAAGUGACAAGGUUCAGAAGUUAUU
Molecule: long non-coding RNA, 528 nt
Filed under: Cricetulus griseus (Chinese hamster)
Lineage: Eukaryota; Metazoa; Chordata; Mammalia; Rodentia; Cricetidae
Description: lncRNA (ENSCGRG00000026175.1)
Source: RNAcentral